This 76-nucleotide transfer RNA is filed under the name Actinoplanes palleronii. Its description in RNAcentral is "tRNA-Ala". Lineage: Bacteria; Bacillati; Actinomycetota; Actinomycetes; Micromonosporales; Micromonosporaceae. The record is from RNAcentral.
UGCACGGCUGGGGCAGCGGCGACCCGGCGGCCUGGCGGGUCACCGAGGGCGGCCGGCUCAGCGCCGCCCCGGACGG